Molecule: long non-coding RNA, 953 nt
Filed under: Monodelphis domestica (gray short-tailed opossum)
Lineage: Eukaryota; Metazoa; Chordata; Mammalia; Didelphimorphia; Didelphidae
Description: lncRNA (ENSMODG00000032757.2)
Source: RNAcentral
GUGGAGGGGACUGGUAGGGAAAUAGCGGCUUUGUUCCAAAGCAGAUCACUGUGCACCUGAACUAGAAAUGGGGGAAAAGUGGAGGGGACAGUAUUUGUUUUUAGCGACGUCGUAAAGACUCAGAUUGCCCAAUGUAUUGGAGGCCAAAGGGAGAGGAGAGAAAGCGCCUCUUUGGCCUAUCUCUCUUCUCAUUUGUCUCCUGCAUCUUCAUUAGACCCCCGCUCCACUGCAAGUCAGGCUGUGGGCUUCUUCUUCUUCCCAAAUAACAGGGUUCUGAGGAUGAGUCUGAACAGUCCAGUAAUGAACUCUUAGCUUUAAUGCCUGGACACCCCGCCGCUGUCCAUGCUGGCUUAGUAACCUUCUUUUCAGAGCCUCCUCAUGACCAAGAGCACAGGAAAGCUUUCAGGCCAUUUUGAGCUCCCCUAAUGGAGCUGCUAAUGCUUCAUUUGUGGCUUAGGAGUCCAAAGCAAACAGCUGAGCACAUCAGCCCACAGGUGGGGCUGUUCCGAAGCCCAUGCUUGUGGAGGUGGCACAGCUGUGAGAGUGUUGACCUUGGAGAUUUGGCCCCAGAAGGAAAAAAAACAGGACAAAGUUCACUUGGAAGAACAAAGGAUCAAGGAUAUCCAGGGAAAUAAUGAAAAAAAAUGCAAAGAAAGGAGGCCUUGCAGUCCCAGAUCUCAAACUAUACUAUAAAGCAGUGGUCAUCAAAACAAUUUGGUACUGGCUAAGAGACAGAAAGGAGGAUCAGUGGAAUAGACUUGGGGGAAGCUGAGUGCCAGGAGUCAUUUGAAAGGCAUUUCCCUUUAGUAAAGGAUUCUAGUUUACAAAGUUGACCACUUGAAAACCUGGAAAGACUUGUAUGAAGUGAUGCAAAGUGAAGUGAGCAGAACCAGGAGAACAUUGUACACAGCAACAGCAAUAAAGUGCGAUGGUUGACUGUGUAUGACUUGACU